GACGAACGCUGGCGGCGUGCCUAAUACAUGCAAGUCGAACGCUUCUUUCCUCCCGAGUGCUUGCCCUCAAUUGGAAAGAGGAGUGGCGGACGGGUGAGUAACACGUGGGUAACCUACCCAUCAGAGGGGGAUAACACUUGGAAAUAGGUGCUAAUACCGCAUAACAGUUUAUGCCGCAUGGCAUAAGAGUGAAAGGCGCUUUCGGGUGUCGCUGAUGGAUGGACCCGCGGUGCAUUAGCUAGUUGGUGAGGUAACGGCUCACCAAGGCCACGAUGCAUAGCCGACCUGAGAGGGUGAUCGGCCACACUGGGACUGAGACACGGCCCAGACUCCUACGGGAGGCAGCAGUAGGGAAUCUUCGGCAAUGGACGAAAGUCUGACCGAGCAACGCCGCGUGAGUGAAGAAGGUUUUCGGAUCGUAAAACUCUGUUGUUAGAGAAGAACAAGGACGUUAGUAACUGAACGUCCCCUGACGGUAUCUAACCAGAAAGCCACGGCUAACUACGUG
RNAcentral lists this ribosomal RNA (508 nucleotides) under uncultured bacterium. RNAcentral describes it as "partial 16S ribosomal RNA". It matches the Rfam family "Bacterial small subunit ribosomal RNA", at positions 28 to 507 of the family's 1533-position model. The record is from RNAcentral.